This 67-nucleotide transfer RNA is filed under the name Marmota monax (woodchuck). RNAcentral's name for it is "tRNA.Ala". Lineage: Eukaryota; Metazoa; Chordata; Mammalia; Rodentia; Sciuridae. The record is from RNAcentral.
GGUUGUAACUCAGCGGUAGAGCACUCGCCCAGCAUGUGCAAGACCCUGGGUUCGAUCCUCAGCACCA